CUUUCAUGGAGAGUUUGAUCCUGGCUCAGGACGAACGCUGGCGGCGUGCCUAAUACAUG
RNAcentral lists this ribosomal RNA (59 nucleotides) under Neobacillus bataviensis. RNAcentral describes it as "Bacillus bataviensis partial 16S ribosomal RNA". The record is from RNAcentral. Lineage: Bacteria; Bacillati; Bacillota; Bacilli; Caryophanales; Bacillaceae.